Molecule: microRNA precursor, 218 nt
Organism: Oryza sativa Indica Group (long-grained rice)
Lineage: Eukaryota; Viridiplantae; Streptophyta; Magnoliopsida; Poales; Poaceae
Rfam family: MIR812 microRNA precursor family
Source: Rfam
AAAAAGACAAACCCUGGGUUUCCGUGUCCAACGUUUGAUUGUCCCGUCUUAUAUUGAAAUUUUUUUCAUAAUUAGUAUUUCCAUUGUUGUUAGAUGAUAAAACAUUGAUUAAUACUUUAUGCGUGAACUUGUCUUUUAAAUUUUUUUCAAUAAAUUUUUUUCAAAUUAAGAACGGACGGUCACAACGUUGGACACAGAAACCUAGGGUUUGCCUUUUU